UAGGGAAUCUUCCGCAAUGGGCGAAAGCCUGACGGAGCAACGCCGCGUGAGUGAUGAAGGUCUUCGGAUCGUAAAACUCUGUUAUUAGGGAAGAACAAAUGUGUAAGUAACUAUGCACGCCCUGACGGUACCUAAUCAGAAAGCCACGGCUAACUACGUGCCAGCAGCCGCGGUAAUACGUAGGUGGCAAGCGUUAUCCGGAAUUAUUGGGCGUAAAGCGCGCGUAGGCGGUUUUUUAAGUCUGGUGUGAAAGCCCACGGCUCAACCGUGGAGGGUCAUUGGAAACUGGAAAACUUGAGUGCGGAAGAGGAAAGUGGAAUUCCAUGUGUAGCGGUGAAAUUCGCAGAGAUAUGGAGGAACACCAGUGGCGAAGGCGACUUUCUGGUCUGUAACUGACGCUGAUGUGCGAAAGCGUGGGGAUCAAACAGG
This 429-nucleotide ribosomal RNA is filed under the name Actinomycetes bacterium. RNAcentral describes it as "Actinobacteria bacterium partial 16S ribosomal RNA". It matches the Rfam family "Bacterial small subunit ribosomal RNA", at positions 355 to 776 of the family's 1533-position model. The record is from RNAcentral. Lineage: Bacteria; Bacillati; Actinomycetota; Actinomycetes.